RNAcentral lists this ribosomal RNA (223 nucleotides) under uncultured bacterium. RNAcentral describes it as "partial 16S ribosomal RNA". It matches the Rfam family "Bacterial small subunit ribosomal RNA", at positions 124 to 334 of the family's 1533-position model. The record is from RNAcentral.
CCUUGCCUCGUGGUGGGGGAUAGCCGGCCCAACGGCCGGGUAAUACCGCAUAUGGUGCUGACUCCGCAUGGAGACGGUAGCAAAGCCCUGGAGCAAUCCAGUGGCGCCACAGGGGGGGCUCGCGGCCUAUCAGCUAGUUGGGGGGGUAAUGGCCCACCAAGGCGACGACGGGUAGCUGGUCUGAGAGGAUGGCCAGCCACAUUGGGACUGAGAGACGGCCCAG